RNAcentral lists this ribosomal RNA (609 nucleotides) under Meyerozyma guilliermondii. Its description in RNAcentral is "eukaryotic LSU rRNA". It matches the Rfam family "Eukaryotic large subunit ribosomal RNA", at positions 36 to 661 of the family's 3401-position model. The record is from RNAcentral. Lineage: Eukaryota; Fungi; Ascomycota; Pichiomycetes; Serinales; Debaryomycetaceae.
UUGCAUAUCAAAAAAGCGGAGGAAAAGAAACCAACAGGGAUUGCCUUAGUAGCGGCGAGUGAAGCGGCAAAAGCUCAAAUUUGAAAUCUGGCGCCUUCGGUGUCCGAGUUGUAAUUUGAAGAUUGUAACCUUGGGGUUGGCUCUUGUCUAUGUUUCUUGGAACAGGACGUCACAGAGGGUGAGAAUCCCGUGCGAUGAGAUGCCCAAUUCUAUGUAAGGUGCUUUCGAAGAGUCGAGUUGUUUGGGAAUGCAGCUCUAAGUGGGUGGUAAAUUCCAUCUAAAGCUAAAUAUUGGCGAGAGACCGAUAGCGAACAAGUACAGUGAUGGAAAGAUGAAAAGAACUUUGAAAAGAGAGUGAAAAAGUACGUGAAAUUGUUGAAAGGGAAGGGUUUGAGAUCAGACUCGAUAUUUUGUGAGCCUUGCCUUCGUGGCGGGGUGACCCGCAGCUUAUCGGGCCAGCAUCGGUUUGGGCGGUAGGAUAAUGGCGUAGGAAUGUGACUUUACUUCGGUGAAGUGUUAUAGCCUGCGUUGAUGCUGCCUGCCUAGACCGAGGACUGCGAUUUUAUCAAGGAUGCUGGCAUAAUGAUCCCAAACCGCCCGUCUUGAACA